AUUUUAAGACUGCGUCGUGCAAAAUAAUACAAAACGGCCGUCACAGUUAAAGGGAUAUCACCAAUACUAUUAUCAAAAUUACCAUAAAAAAUAUGUAUUGAGCACCACAAUGACUGUGUUUACAAUUCAUCGUUGGCAAAAAUUAUAAUUAUUGUCUAGUUAAAAUAACAAAAAUGUGUAAACAUGGACAAAAAUCUUAAAAUAGCACGUUCGUAUUUAGUUGAAUUUUGAUAGUAAACUGUUACAAUUUUUCACAAACUUUAAUGCAUAUCAAUCUAUAAUAAUCAUACUACAAUUUGUCGUUUUAAAAUUUUCGAAAAUGUAGCUUGGUUAUUUUAGACAUUAUUUUGUUUAAAAUUGGGCCGCUGCGCGCCCUGUUUUGAAUCAUACGCAACGUACACCGGCCGAAAGUUCAGUCGUCCACGAGAGCUCGGAGAGUGGUCACGUCUCAUCGGGAAGCGACGCGCCGAUAACGAUACUUCGCGAUCUAUUGUGUACUUAUACCUUGCCAAACGCAAACGCAAACUGUUGAAUAAGUAAAAUGGGAAAGCUUAAGGAAAAAAAUUAUAAGAAGAAAGUUGGCGCUAAUUUACGAAAAAAAAAUGUUCUCGGAAAAAGAGCAAGUCCGGAUGGUAUUGUAGAAGAGGACAAAAUUGUGGAAAUUAACUGUCCUUAUUCAGCCAGAGACAUGAGUGUUGACGAUGGCAUAAGAGAAAAGAAAAUUAUUUUUUGGAAAAGAGACAAGGAAGGUAAUAUCAAUCUAAAUAAAAAUCAUGAUUGGUACUUCCAAGCACAAGGACAACUUCACAUUACACAAAGAAAAACAUGUAUAUUUGCCGUUUGGACUGAAGUAGACAUGAAGGUUGAACUAAUUGAGGAAGAUAAAGAAUUUUGGUGUAAAAUGGAAGAGAAAUUGAAAGCUUUUUAUUUUGAUUGCUUACUGCCUGAAAUUCUUGAUUCUCGGUUAGAUAGGCAAAUGGAUAUCAGGGAACCUAAAUAUAUUCUUGAUGCAAUCAAUCAAAAAGAUAAACGAAAAUUAUCGUCAUAAAUCACAUGAAUACAUUCUUAAAUUAUGCACCAACAUUCGUAAGUUAAGUUCAGUCUUCAGUCCGAGAUGCAAAUGUGCAUUUUUUUUGUAUAACCUAUCUUUGUGGUUGGAAAUAACUAUUAUAUUUUUUGAAUGAGGUUGAUACAUUCUUGUGUCUUUUACAGUUUCUUUUUAUGUAUUCUCACACAAAUUUUGGUCAGCUGAUGACAAAUUUGGAAAAUCAACAUUAUUUUUUCUGAAAUUAAUUAAUGCCUUUGAUUUCUCAAUUUUUAUUAAAAAAAACUACAACUCUUCGGUACAACCUGUAUAAUAAAUUAACCACGUUUCUGCGCUUUAAGUAUGUUUUUGUAAAAUUCUUAUCAAGUUGUUUUACGUCAGGUUAAAUUAAAGAUUUUUUUAUUA
Molecule: long non-coding RNA, 1450 nt
Organism: Helicoverpa armigera (cotton bollworm)
Lineage: Eukaryota; Metazoa; Arthropoda; Insecta; Lepidoptera; Noctuidae
Exons: 3
Source: RefSeq, a predicted model, not a curated record